CGGUAGCGGCGGGAUGGACGUCCCCGGCAGGUGUCACCGGGUCGCGGCUCCCUGGAGGAAGCUGUCUAAGGAGGAGCUGGAGAAUCAGUACAGCCCCAGCAGAUGGGUUAAACGACGGGGAGCCGAGGAGGCCCUGAGGACCUACUCACAGAUAGGGGAUGAGGCUACGAAGAGGGCCCGAGCCACCAGGAGCCUGCUGAAUGUCCCCUAUGGGGACGGCGAGGGGGAGAAACUGGACAUCUACUUUCCUGAUCGAGUGUCUGAAGCCUCGCCUUUCUGUGUGUUCCUUCACGGCGGGUACUGGCAGAGCGGAAGUAAAGAUACAUCAGCCUUCACGGUCAACCCAGUGACAGCAGAGGGAGUGGCCGUGGUGGUCGUGGGUUAUGACAUAGCCCCCAAAGGUACCCUGGACCAGAUGGUAGACCAAGUGGCCCGGAGUGUCGUGUUUAUCCAGAAGCAGUAUCCACACAACAGGGGGAUUUACCUGUGCGGACACUCAGCCGGGGCCCACCUCGCCGCCAUGAUGCUCCUGGCCAGCUGGACCAAGCACGGAGUCACACCCAACCUCAAAGGCUUCUUCUUGGUAAGUGGGAUCUAUGACCUGGAGCCCAUCGUGUUCACCUCUCAGAACAUCCCUCUCCUCAUGACGCUGGAGGAUGCCCGGAGGAACAGCCCGCAGCUGAUCCUGGAGGCGGCCUUGGUGCAGCCCGUGGACCCCGCCUGCCGGGUGCUGGUGAUUGUGGGCCAGUAUGACUCCCCCGAAUUCUUCCGACAAUCCAGGGAAUUUUAUCAGACACUGUGCAGAGGAGGGUGGAAUGCCUCAUUCGAAGAACUCCAGGAUGUGGAUCAUUUUGAAAUCAUCUGGAAGCUAACCCAGAAGGACUAUGUGCUCACGCAGAUGAUUUUGAGAACAAUCCUCCAGGAACCCGGAUAGCACUGGACCCCCCAGGGUGCGCCCCGCUGACCGCACGGGCUUCCCCUUCCUGCCAGCCUCAGCUCUCCCCACGCCCGGGAGCGCCUCCAUUUGCUCGGAACACCACUUGGACUCUCCAUGGCCUUUUGCUCAUCUGGAUACCUCAACUGGAUUCAGACACUUCCACCAGCGACUCUGGGUCUCCGCUUAUUCGCCCGUAAAAGAAUCCGGCUGCAGCAGGGGCAGGAGCGGGCAGACAGACCAGAGGCAGAAAGGAGACUCGGGCCCCAGCACAUGGUGAGUGGACUUGAGUAUGUGACAAGGGUGGCGUUUCAAACCUGCCUUUGUUCAAAGCUGCUGACUGAACAAACAGCGUGGGGGCACCUGGCCAGAUCUUGGGAAACAAAUCUGAACCCUUUUCAUGCACCUUCGAUUGAUAUACUUCUGAAGGGAUCAGACAUUUCUUUUUAAAGACCAAGACUGUAACAAUAAAC
Molecule: RNA transcript, 1407 nt
Organism: Hyaena hyaena (striped hyena)
Lineage: Eukaryota; Metazoa; Chordata; Mammalia; Carnivora; Hyaenidae
Gene: AFMID
Gene name: arylformamidase
Exons: 12
Source: RefSeq, a predicted model, not a curated record